Long non-coding RNA from Artibeus jamaicensis (Jamaican fruit-eating bat), 2053 nucleotides. RefSeq lists it as uncharacterized. NCBI's taxonomy places the organism in Eukaryota, Metazoa, Chordata, Mammalia, Chiroptera, Phyllostomidae. The record is from RefSeq and is a predicted model, not a curated record. The transcript has 3 exons.
AUUCCAUUCCUAGAAAUGCUUUAAAACUCAAUCAUUUCAGUUGAAACACAGUAAAUAAAUAACAAGAAGCUUUGCACAGAUCGUUAAUGGUGUAAAUUCGACAGCAGAAUCCUGUGUCAUGGAAGUCACUGUCGGGUGAUGGGGGAAGCAGGUACUGAAGGCUGGACUGACUCUCCAGUCUCAUUUCAGAAAGAGAAAAAUGAUGCUCGCACACAGGUUUUCCUCUCCCUUCUGAGAGUGUAACGACUCUCAGCUCUCGGCUGUAUUUUCAUCAGGCUACGCUGCUCCAAUACCAUCCAGAAAGGUGGAUGGGUUCUCUCCUGACUCCCAAGGGGAGGAGCGCUGUACAGAGAAACUGAUGCUGCUUGAUGUCAGCAAAGACUCCUGGCCUUGUCAAAUUGGUCAACGUCCACAGAAUAGUCUUUCUAGUUGAAGCAAGGGAUCGUCAGAGCACAGAAAGUCCAUGGGCUCAUCCCUGCUGGAAGCUUCUAUUUUGAUAACACUUAGAAGUUCAGAAGUUUUACUAACGGGACUACAUGGGCUGGGCCACUUGGGACCCUGAAAAUGUCUCACUUCAAGUACAUAAUCAUCCAUGAUGCAAGAGGCAUUGGUGUAUUCUGUGCCUUCCCCACUCAGGGACAAAAUGCCACCCCUUGACCUUUCCGCAGGGAUGGUGGAAGGAGUUCUGUUCUUUUCCCUGUUGCAUUGCUUUAGGGCUGUGGAAUAGUCACUCCUCUGUAUGUCUGAUUGACUCAGCAGUUUGAAUUGUUUCUCCAGCUUUGUUUUUCCUGCCGGUCCAGGAAUGAAGAGCAUGUUGACAUAGGCGUGAAUAUGACUGUCUGGCACCUCAGACUCUUCACUAAGUAUGGCCUCCACCAGAGCAUCAUACUAUUUCUCAGUUUGCACCAAAUAGUUUCUUUGCAAACGAAUGUGUUUUAAGGAGCAAACAUGUUGACAGUGCCUCCGUGCUGAAUCUGCAACAUACUGUCUAGCACAAGAGAGAAAGGAAAAAAGAGUGAGAGAGAGGGAGAAGAGAGAAAACCAUCAGUGUGAGAGAGAAACACUGACUGGUUGUCUACCAUACAUGCCCCAGCUGGGGAUCAAACCCGCAACCAAGGACCUCAAGCCCGAAGAACUCAAACUGCGAUUUGGAGCUUAUCUCAUUAUUAUGCACCACCAUACCCUCAAAGGAUGUGGGCCUGUAUCAUUAUCUUCACGUUUCAGAUGAAACAUGGCCGUGGAGAGCAGCCCAGCUCUAUACAUGUCUGGGUGAAGGAUUCAGAGAUGGCUUCCUUGUAUCUCCAUUUAUCCGUGUCUGAUUUGGCUUUGCCCUCGCUUGUAAGAAACAAGACUGAGAUAAACCAAGUGGAAUGCCGCCGUUUCAGCCCGAUGUGCCUGGUGUCACAGUCUGGCCAGCGCAGUAAGAUCAAAGCCCUACGGCCGUGGUGAGGACAAAAGGCUGCAAGGAAGCAAGGCGGGCAAAGAGGCCAUUACGCAGUGGCCUGGGUACCCACGUGUCCUUGGAAAAAUAUGAAAAACAAAGAUGUGAAUUAUUGAACAGUGACAGUGAAAACCUACAUCUCACAGGGAAAACAGCCAGCUCAGAGAUCCAAGCAGAGGCCAUGCCCGAGCUGGGAUUUGAGACCCGUGUGAUCUUUCCCAUGGUACGAUCCUGGCCAUCCAUGUGCGACUCGACGGCUUCCGACACUUCUCACCACUUCUCAUUCUGCAGCUCCCUCUGCGUUUUUUAAAAAAGCAGGCCAAAGACACUUGUCAUUAGUGACCCAAUGACCACUAAAAGGGACAUGAGAAAUGUCACACUGGGAAUACCAGUGGUCCAUCUGACCAAGAAUUCUGUCACCAUUACCUGAGACACUGGGGGGAGACAUGAUGGUAACAGCAAUUACCUGUUGGAAGAGGCAAGGACUGGACAGAUGUGGGGCAGAUGCAAGGAAAAGAAAGCAAGUUUCACUGAAUGGCCUUUUGUAACAGGGUGCAGCCAAGGGGGGGACCCCAAAUAGGGAUUUGUAAUGGGGUCCAGAACUUGGUGUCC